AUUAAGUUAUCUGUUACGUACCUGACUCGGCGCAACCCGUCGAUGAUGAGAUCUCGCUGAGACGAUGGACGGCGUCGAGGAUGAUGGUUUCGGUUUGCUGUCUUCGCGAUACAGAUCGGAAUAAUGUGUAGAUAAUAAUUGAAUAAGAAGAAGAAGGAAAAGAAGAGAAAAGAUAGAUUGAGGAAAAGGAUCAGGGGGAAUAGAGAGAAUAAGAGAGAAUAAGAGAGAAGUUAAGAAGACGGAGAAUUUUCAUUAAUCAUCCAUUAAAAAACCCUAGGAGUUACACACUGCCUCAUAUAUAUAAUACGAAUUUGAAUAAAAUAAACCCUAAUUCCUAA
This 338-nucleotide long non-coding RNA is filed under the name Ananas comosus (pineapple). Its description in RNAcentral is "long non-coding RNA (ACOM_LNC004573)". Lineage: Eukaryota; Viridiplantae; Streptophyta; Magnoliopsida; Poales; Bromeliaceae. The record is from RNAcentral.